UUCUCUUCUAAACUGCAGUUUCAAUUAUCAGGCAAGCAAAUUCUUUUGUUUUUGUUCUUACCUAUAAUUUUUUCCUUGAAUUCAUAUUAAUUCUUUUUUUAAUUCCUAGGUGGAAGAUGCCUUUUGAAUAUACUCCUCUUUCAAAUCUCAAAUUCUAUGAAAAAAGAAUAGUAUUAUUGGUUUUGAAGCAAUCCUUGUGGAUGCGAAGGUAAAUAUUUGUGUGAUUAUAGUUAUUUAAACUUAUUAUUACAAUAUAAUUUUUUUUUUCAAAAUCUGUUUAAAAUAACCAAUAUAUGUAUACACUUUUUUAAAAGAAAGCAAAACACCAUAAGUCCAUUUAACCAAAGAUACCUAUACUCUGGUGUUUUUAAUGCUAUUGUCUAUGAAUAUGUCACUUACCUUUUAUUUCUCACCAUUCUCUAUUUGGUUGACAGGGACAUCAAUUUGCUGUGAAACAAUUCUUUUAUUUCUUCUGUGAAACAAUUUGCUUCAAAAAUUCCAAAACAAAUUGUUGGAAGGAAAGUGUUAUGAUAUCAUGAAUUUUGAAGUCGUUCAUAACCAUGGUGACUACAAGGGAACCAUACAUCCUUACAAGAUUAACUUCAUCUACACAACAUUUGUCAAACCGUGUGAUCAGAUUCCAA
This 644-nucleotide long non-coding RNA is filed under the name Capsella rubella. Its description in RNAcentral is "long non-coding RNA (CRUB_LNC005098)". Lineage: Eukaryota; Viridiplantae; Streptophyta; Magnoliopsida; Brassicales; Brassicaceae. The record is from RNAcentral.